CCUACGGGAGGCAGCAGUGGGGAAUAUUGGACAAUGGGCGAAAGCCUGAUCCAGCCAUGCCGCGUGUGUGAAGAAGGCCUUCGGGUUGUAAAGCACUUUCAGUGGGGAAGAAAGCCUUGGGGCUAAUACCCUCGAGGAAGGACAUCACCCACAGAAGAAGCACCGGCUAACUCCGUGCCAGCAGCCGCGGUAAUCCGGAGGGUGCGAGCGUUAAUCGGAAUUACUGGGCGUAAAGCGCGCGUAGGCGGUCUGAUAAGCCGGUUGUGAAAGCCCCGGGCUCAACCUGGGAACGGCAUCCGGAACUGUCAGGCUAGAGUGCAGGAGAGGAAGGUAGAAUUCCCGGUGUAGCGGUGAAAUGCGUAGAGAUCGGGAGGAAUACCAGUGGCGAAGGCGGCCUUCUGGACUGACACUGACGCUGAGGUGCGAAAGCGUGGGUAGCAAACAGGAUUAGAUACCCGAGUAGUC
Molecule: ribosomal RNA, 465 nt
Filed under: Vreelandella stevensii
Lineage: Bacteria; Pseudomonadati; Pseudomonadota; Gammaproteobacteria; Oceanospirillales; Halomonadaceae
Description: partial 16S ribosomal RNA
Rfam family: Bacterial small subunit ribosomal RNA
Source: RNAcentral